UGGGGAAUAUUGCACAAUGGGCGAAAGCCUGAUGCAGCGACGCCGCGUGCGGGAUGAAGGCCUUCGGGUUGUAAACCGCUUUCAGCAGGGACGAGGCCGCAAGGUGACGGUACCUGCAGAAGAAGCCCCGGCUAACUACGUGCCAGCAGCCGCGGUAAUACGGAAGGUCCGGGCGUUAUCCGGAUUUAUUGGGUUUAAAGGGAGCGUAGGCUGCCCGGCAAGCGUGCUGUGAAAUACAGUGGCCCAACCACUGGACUGCAGCGCGAACUGUCGGGCUUGAGGGCGCACGACGCAGGCGGAAUUUGUGGUGUAGCGGUGAAAUGCUUAGAUAUCACGAAGAACCCCGAUUGCGAAGGCAGCUUGCGGGAGCGCGACUGACGCUGAAGCUCGAAAGUGCGGGUAUCAAACAGGAUUAGAUACCCUGGUAGUCCGCACGGUAAACGAUGGAUGCCCGUUCUGCGGCCUUCGGGCCGCGGGACCAAGCGAAAGCAUUAAGCAUCCCACCUGGGGAGUACGCCGGCAACGGUG
This 528-nucleotide ribosomal RNA is filed under the name uncultured bacterium. RNAcentral describes it as "bacterial SSU rRNA". It matches the Rfam family "Bacterial small subunit ribosomal RNA", at positions 355 to 896 of the family's 1533-position model. The record is from RNAcentral.